UUUAUAUGAGAGUUUGAUCCUGGCUCAGGAUGAACGCUGGCGGCGUGCCUAAUACAUGCAAGUCGAACGAGUUCUGAUUAUUGAAAGGUGCUUGCAUCUUGAUUUAAUUUUGAACGAGUGGCGGACGGGUGAGUAACACGUGGGUAACCUGCCCUUAAGUGGGGGAUAACAUUUGGAAACAGAUGCUAAUACCGCAUAAAUCCAARAACCGCAUGGUUCUUGGCUGAAAGAUGGCGUAAGCUAUCGCUUUUGGAUGGACCCGCGGCGUAUUAGCUAGUUGGUGAGGUAACGGCUCACCAAGGCAAUGAUACGUAGCCGAACUGAGAGGUUGAUCGGCCACAUUGGGACUGAGACACGGCCCAAACUCCUACGGGAGGCAGCAGUAGGGAAUCUUCCACAAUGGACGCAAGUCUGAUGGAGCAACGCCGCGUGAGUGAAGAAGGCUUUCGGGUCGUAAAACUCUGUUGUUGGAGAAGAAUGGUCGGCAGAGUAACUGUUGU
Molecule: ribosomal RNA, 500 nt
Filed under: Lacticaseibacillus rhamnosus
Lineage: Bacteria; Bacillati; Bacillota; Bacilli; Lactobacillales; Lactobacillaceae
Description: bacterial SSU rRNA
Rfam family: Bacterial small subunit ribosomal RNA
Source: RNAcentral